GAUCCUGGCUCAGGACGAACGCUGGCGGCGUGCUUAACACAUGCAAGUCGAACGAAGAGCGAUGGAAGCUUGCUUCUAUCAAUCUUAGUGGCGAACGGGUGAGUAACGCGUAAUCAGCCUGCCCUUCAGAGGGGGACAACAGUUGGAAACGACUGCUAAUACCGCAUACGAUCCAACCUCGGCAUCGAGGAUGGAUGAAAGGUGGCCUCUAUUUAUAAGCUAUCACUGAAGGG
RNAcentral lists this ribosomal RNA (233 nucleotides) under uncultured bacterium. RNAcentral's name for it is "partial 16S ribosomal RNA". It matches the Rfam family "Bacterial small subunit ribosomal RNA", at positions 15 to 225 of the family's 1533-position model. The record is from RNAcentral.